RNAcentral lists this ribosomal RNA (305 nucleotides) under uncultured bacterium. RNAcentral's name for it is "partial 16S ribosomal RNA". It matches the Rfam family "Bacterial small subunit ribosomal RNA", at positions 508 to 810 of the family's 1533-position model. The record is from RNAcentral.
ACAGCAGCCGCCGCGGUAAUACGAAGGGUGCAAGCGUUACUCGGAAUUACUGGGCGUAAAGCGUGCGUAGGUGGUGGUUUAAGUCCGUUGUGAAAGCCCUGGGCUCAACCUGGGAAUUGCAGUGGAUACUGGGUCACUAGAGUGUGGUAGAGGAUAGUGGAAUUUCCGGUGUAGCAGUGAAAUGCGUAGAGAUCGGAAGGAACAUCUGUGGCGAAGGCGACUAUCUGGGCCAACACUGACACUGAGGCACGAAAGCGUGGGGAGCAAACAGGAUUAGAUACCCCGUAGUCCUGUCUCUAUACACA